AUUGAACGCUGGCAGCAGGCAUAACACAUGCAAGUCGAGCGAGCGGCGGACGGGUGAGGAAUGUCUGGGAAACUGCCUGAUGGAGGGGGAUAACUACUGGAAAAGGUAGCUAAUACCGCAUACCAUCAGAUGUGCCCAGAUGGGAUUAGCUAGUAGGUGGGGUAACGGCUCACCUAGGCGACGAUCCCUAGCUUGUCUGAGCGGAUGACCCGCCACACUGGAACUGAGCCACGGUCCAGACUCCUACGGGAGGCAGCAGUGGGGAAUAUUGCACAAUGGGCGCAAGCCUGAUGCAGCCAUGCCGCGUGUGUGAAGAAGGCCUUCGGGUUGUAAAGCACUUUCAGCGGGGAGGCGUUACCCGCAGAAGAAGCACCGGCUAACACCGUGCCAGCAGCCGCGGUAAUAC
RNAcentral lists this ribosomal RNA (406 nucleotides) under uncultured bacterium. Its description in RNAcentral is "partial 16S ribosomal RNA". It matches the Rfam family "Bacterial small subunit ribosomal RNA", at positions 30 to 526 of the family's 1533-position model. The record is from RNAcentral.